AGUGAACGCUGGCGGUAGGCCUAACACAUGCAAGUCGAACGGCAGCACAGUAAGAGCUUGCUCUUACGGGUGGCGAGUGGCGGACGGGUGAGGAAUACAUCGGAAUCUACUUUUUCGUGGGGGAUAACGUAGGGAAACUUACGCUAAUACCGCAUACGACCUACGGGUGAAAGCAGGGGAUCUUCGGACCUUGCGCGAUUGAAUGAGCCGAUGUCGGAUUAGCUAGUUGGCGGGGUAAAGGCCCACCAAGGCGACGAUCCGUAGCUGGUCUGAGAGGAUGAUCAGCCACACGGGAACUGAGACACGGUCCAGACUCCUACGGGAGGCAGCAGUGGGGAAUAUUGGACAAUGGGCGCAAGCCUGAUCCAGCCAUACCGCGUGGGUGAAGAAGGCCUUCGGGUUGUAAAGCCCUUUUGUUGGGAAAGAAAAGCAGCAGGUUAAGACCCCGCUGUUCUGACGGUACCCAAAGAAUAAGCACCGGCUAACUUCGUG
Molecule: ribosomal RNA, 492 nt
Filed under: uncultured bacterium
Lineage: Bacteria
Description: partial 16S ribosomal RNA
Rfam family: Bacterial small subunit ribosomal RNA
Source: RNAcentral